UAGGGAAUCUUCGGCAAUGGACGGAAGUCUGACCGAGCAACGCCGCGUGAGUGAAGAAGGUUUUCGGAUCGUAAAGCUCUGUUGUAAGAGAAGAACGAGUGUGAGAGUGGAAAGUUCACACUGUGACGGUAUCUUACCAGAAAGGGACGGCUAACUACGUGCCAGCAGCCGCGGUAAUACGUAGGUCCCGAGCGUUGUCCGGAUUUAUUGGGCGUAAAGCGAGCGCAGGCGGUUAGAUAAGUCUGAAGUUAAAGGCUGUGGCUUAACCAUAGUAGGCUUUGGAAACUGUUUAACUUGAGUGCAAGAGGGGAGAGUGGAAUUCCAUGUGUAGCGGUGAAAUGCGUAGAUAUAUGGAGGAACACCGGUGGCGAAAGCGGCUCUCUGGCUUGUAACUGACGCUGAGGCUCGAAGCGUGGGGGAGCAAACAGGAUUAGAUACCCUGGUAGUCCACGCUGUACGAUGAGUGCUAGGUGUUAGACCCUUUCCGGGGUUUAGUGCCGUAGCUAACGCAUUAAGCACUCCGCCUGGGGAGUACGACCGG
Molecule: ribosomal RNA, 541 nt
Filed under: uncultured bacterium
Lineage: Bacteria
Description: bacterial SSU rRNA
Rfam family: Bacterial small subunit ribosomal RNA
Source: RNAcentral